CGACGCUUCUUUCCUCCCGAGUGCUUGCACUCAAUUGGAAAGAGGAGUGGCGGACGGGUGAGUAACACGUGGGUAACCUACCCAUCAGAGGGGGAUAACACUUGGAAACAGGUGCUAAUACCGCAUAACAGUUUAUGCCGCAUGGCAUAAGAGUGAAAGGCGCUUUCGGGUGUCGCUGAUGGAUGGACCCGCGGUGCAUUAGCUAGUUGGUGAGGUAACGGCUCACCAAGGCCACGAUGCAUAGCCGACCUGAGAGGGUGAUCGGCCACACUGGGACUGAGACACGGCCCAGACUCCUACGGGAGGCAGCAGUAGGGAAUCUUCGGCAAUGGACGAAAGUCUGACCGAGCAACGCCGCGUGAGUGAAGAAGGUUUUCGGAUCGUAAAACUCUGUUGUUAGAGAAGAACAAGGACGUUAGUAACUGAACGUCCCCUGACGGUAUCUAACCAGAAAGCCACGGCUAACUACGUGCCAGCAGCCGCGGUAAUACGUAGGUGGCAAGCGUUGUCCGGAUUUAUUGGGCGUAAAGCGAGCGCAGGCGGUUUCUUAAGUCUGAUGUGAAAGCCCCCGGCUCAACCGGGGAGGGUCAUUGGAAACUGGGAGACUUGAGUGCAGAAGAGGAGAGUGGAAUUCCAUGUGUAGCGGUGAAAUGCGUAGAUAUAUGGAGGAACACCAGUGGCGAAGGCGGCUCUCUGGUCUGUAACUGACGCUGAGGCUCGAAAGCGUGNGGAGCAAACAGGAUUAGAUNCCCUGGUAGUC
This 760-nucleotide ribosomal RNA is filed under the name uncultured bacterium. RNAcentral's name for it is "bacterial SSU rRNA". It matches the Rfam family "Bacterial small subunit ribosomal RNA", at positions 64 to 795 of the family's 1533-position model. The record is from RNAcentral.